UCCCAAAUGGCCGUGGCUCAGAUCCAGCAGGUCAAGCUGCUGCUGCUGCAGGGGCAACAUGCCAGUAGCAGAUUGCAGCCCACAAGCAGCACGAAGUGUGGUGGAUGGACUGCGUCCUCUGCAUCUCCAAGGAGCAUGGGGCUGUCUUCCUGGAAGGGCAACCUUGCCAGUGCCAUCCAUUACUUCCCAUGCAAGCCCUUAACUUUGCCUUCAAGGAUAAGUACAAGCAGUUCUUCCUGGGGGUGCAGACAAGCGCAUGCAGUUCUGGAGGUGCUUCGCUGGCCACCCGGCCUUGGGUGGCCUGGCUGGCACCACCUCACUCUGCUUCAUGUACCCCCUGGAUUUCCCAGAACCUCCUGGCAGCAGACAUUGGGAAAUUGGGCACAGUGCAUGAGUUCAAAGACCUGGGAGCCUGGCCGGUGAGGAUCACCAAAUCCAAUGGACCCAGGGCCUGUACCAGGGCUUCAGCAUCUCAUGCAAGACAUCAUCAUCUACCCAGCAGCCUCCUUCUGCUAGUAGGAUACAGCUGAGGGCAUGCUCCCCAGCCCCAAGAACAUGCACAUCCUGGCAAGCUGAGUUACUGCAAAGACUAUGAGGGCCAUGGCCAACAUGAUCUCCUAUCCUCCCACAUGGAGCUCAAAGGAGCCCACAUCAUGUAUACAGGGACCCUAGAUUGUUGGAGGAAGAUCUUUAAAGAUGAAAAGGGCAAAGGCUUCUUCAAGGGCGAGGUCCAAUGUCCUUGGAGGUGUCAGGGGCUUUGGUGCUGGUCCUGUAA
Molecule: long non-coding RNA, 775 nt
Filed under: Homo sapiens (human)
Lineage: Eukaryota; Metazoa; Chordata; Mammalia; Primates; Hominidae
Description: non-protein coding lnc-NKX2-2-3:1
Source: RNAcentral